Non-coding RNA from Thamnophis sirtalis, 290 nucleotides. NCBI's taxonomy places the organism in Eukaryota, Metazoa, Chordata, Lepidosauria, Squamata, Natricidae. The record is from RefSeq and is a predicted model, not a curated record.
CAUCUUGUUUUUCUCUGCAGAUCCUCUGCAAGAUAUUGCUCUGAGUGUUGACAGCUGCACCUAUAUCGCUGGCAGAGAUGUUACCAUCCGAUUAGCAACUGUUUUAAGGCAUGCCAUCAAUGAACUCUAUGUGGAUUUCAGUUUUACCAUUAAUGGACAGAUUGUACCACUUUACAACAAGCAAGUUUGUGAACGAAAUCAGCCCCAGUUUCAAUUCUGUGGAAAGAAGAAAGGAGAAUAUAUUUACUACGCAGGGCCCGUCUCUCUGAACAUGGAGAACAUCCCACAAG